AGUGAACGCUGGCGGUAGACCUAACACAUGCAAGUCGAACGGCAGCACAGUAAGAGCUUGCUCUUACGGGUGGCGAGUGGCGGACGGGUGAGGAAUACAUCGGAAUCUACUUUUUCGUGGGGGAUAACGUAGGGAAACUUACGCUAAUACCGCAUACGACCUACGGGUGAAAGCAGGGGAUCUUCGGACCUUGCGCGAUUGAAUGAGCCGAUGUCGGAUUAGCUAGUUGGCGGGGUAAAGGCCCACCAAGGCGACGAUCCGUAGCUGGUCUGAGAGGAUGAUCAGCCACACUGGACCUGAGACACGGUCCAGACUCCUACGGGAGGCAGCAGUGGGGAAUAUUGGACAAUGGGCGCAAGCCUGAUCCAGCCAUACCGCGUGGGUGAAGAAGGCCUUCGGGUUGUAAAGCCCUUUUGUUGGGAAAGAAAAGCAGCAGGUUAAUACCCCGCUGUUCUGACGGUACCCAAAGAAUAAGCACCGGCUAACUUCGU
This 491-nucleotide ribosomal RNA is filed under the name uncultured bacterium. RNAcentral describes it as "partial 16S ribosomal RNA". It matches the Rfam family "Bacterial small subunit ribosomal RNA", at positions 29 to 506 of the family's 1533-position model. The record is from RNAcentral.